AGUGAACGCUGGCGGUAGGCCUAACACAUGCAAGUCGAACGGCAGCACAGUAAGAGCUUGCUCUUACGGGUGGCGAGUGGCGGACGGGUGAGGAAUACAUCGGAAUCUACUUUUUCGUGGGGGAUAACGUAGGGAAACUUACGCUAAUACCGCAUACGACCUACGGGUGAAAGCAGGGGAUCUUCGGACCUUGCGCGAGUGAAUGAGCCGAUGUCGGAUUAGCUAGUUGGCGGGGUAAAGGCCCACCAAGGCGACGAUCCGUAGCUGGUCUGAGAGGAUGAUCAGCCACACUGGAACUGCGACACGGUCCAGACUCCUACGGGAGGCAGCAGUGGGGAAUAUUGGACAAUGGGCGCAAGCCUGAUCCAGCCAUACCGCGUGGGUGAAGAAGGCCUUCGGGUUGUAAAGCCCUUUUGUUGGGAAAGAAAAGCAGCAGGUUAAUACCCCGCUGUUCUGACGGUACCCAAAGAAUAAGCACCGGCUAACUUCGUG
Molecule: ribosomal RNA, 492 nt
Filed under: uncultured bacterium
Lineage: Bacteria
Description: partial 16S ribosomal RNA
Rfam family: Bacterial small subunit ribosomal RNA
Source: RNAcentral